UGGGGAAUAUUGCACAAUGGGCGCAAGCCUGAUGCAGCCAUGCCGCGUGUAUGAAGAAGGCCUUCGGGUUGUAAAGUACUUUCAGCGGGGAGGAAGGGAGUAAAGUUAAUACCUUUGCUCAUUGACGUUACCCGCAGAAGAAGCACCGGCUAACUCCGUGCCAGCAGCCGCGGUAAUACGGAGGGUGCAAGCGUUAAUCGGAAUUACUGGGCGUAAAGCGCACGCAGGCGGUUUGUUAAGUCAGAUGUGAAAUCCCCGGGCUCAACCUGGGAACUGCAUCUGAUACUGGCAAGCUUGAGUCUCGUAGAGGGGGGUAGAAUUCCAGGUGUAGCGGUGAAAUGCGUAGAGAUCUGGAGGAAUACCGGUGGUGAAGGCGGCCCCCUGGACGAAGACUGACGCUCAGGUGCGAAAGCGUGGGGAGCAAACAGG
RNAcentral lists this ribosomal RNA (429 nucleotides) under Chloroflexota bacterium. RNAcentral's name for it is "Chloroflexi bacterium partial 16S ribosomal RNA". It matches the Rfam family "Bacterial small subunit ribosomal RNA", at positions 355 to 776 of the family's 1533-position model. The record is from RNAcentral. Lineage: Bacteria; Bacillati; Chloroflexota.